This 255-nucleotide ribosomal RNA is filed under the name uncultured bacterium. RNAcentral's name for it is "partial 16S ribosomal RNA". It matches the Rfam family "Bacterial small subunit ribosomal RNA", at positions 524 to 776 of the family's 1533-position model. The record is from RNAcentral.
UACGUAGGGUGCGAGCGUUAAUCGGAAUUACUGGGCGUAAAGCGUGCGCAGGCGGUUAUUUAAGUCAGGUGUGAAAUCCCCGGGCUUAACCUGGGAAUUGCGCUUGAAACUGGCAGGCUUGAGUGUGGCAGAGGGGGGUGGAAUUCCACGUGUAGCAGUGAAAUGCGUAGAUAUGUGGAGGAACACCGAUGGCGAAGGCAGCCCCCUGGGCUAACACUGGACGCCUCAUGCACGAAAGCGUGGGGAGCAAACAGG